This 281-nucleotide unclassified non-coding RNA is filed under the name Hevea brasiliensis (rubber tree). Lineage: Eukaryota; Viridiplantae; Streptophyta; Magnoliopsida; Malpighiales; Euphorbiaceae. The record is from RNAcentral.
CGAGGCCGGCAAGACCAAGUACACCCCGGUGGACGGCAUUCCCGAACUGAAGGAGGCGAUCAUCGCCAAGUUUCAGCGCGAGAACGGCCUGACCUACAAGCCGAACCAAAUCACGGUCGGUACCGGCGGCAAGCAGGGGCUGUACAACGCGCUGAUGGCGACGCUCAAUCCGGGCGAUGAGGUCAUCAUCCCCGCACCGUACUGGGUGAGCUACCCGGAAAUGGUCGCGCUCGCCGGUGGCGAAUCCGUGCCGGUGGUCUGCGCCGCUGAAUUUAAUUUCA